GAUGAAGGUUUUCGGAUCGUAAAACUCUGUUGUUAGGGAAGAAACAAGUACCGUUCAAAUAGGGCGGUACCUUGACGGUACCUAACCAAAAAGCCACGGCUAACUACGUGCCACCACCCGCGGUAAUACUUAGGUGGCAAGCGUUGUCCGGAAUUAUUGGGCGUAAAGCGCGCGCAGGCGGUUUCUUAAUUCUGAUGUGAAAGCCCCCGGCUCAACCGGGGAGGGUCAUUGGAAACUGGGGAACUUGAGUGCAGAAAAGGAAAGUGGAAUUCCACGUGUAGCGGUGAAAUGCUUAGAGAUGUGAAGGAACACCAGUGCCAAAGGCAACUCUCUGGUCUGUAACUGACGCUAAGGCGCG
RNAcentral lists this ribosomal RNA (358 nucleotides) under uncultured Bacillus sp. Its description in RNAcentral is "bacterial SSU rRNA". It matches the Rfam family "Bacterial small subunit ribosomal RNA", at positions 407 to 755 of the family's 1533-position model. Lineage: Bacteria; Bacillati; Bacillota; Bacilli; Caryophanales; Bacillaceae. The record is from RNAcentral.